ACAUGGAAACACAAAUACAUAAAACAGAUGCAGGUGGAGUGACUCUAGGUGGGGAGACAGGCAAGGCUGCAGACCCUCCCUUUAAGCCAGCACCUUUACCUCUAAGAUACACGUGCAGAGCUGUAGAGCUUUCUCCAAGAUUCACAGAUUGAAAAACCCUGCCAUGGACACACAACCCUUAGAGGCGUUCUGGAUCAUCACAGGAAGAUUCUGGUCCAGAGCAACUUUAGAGGUGGCAGAUGCCAGCCCAAUUAUAAAUCAGGCCUGGUACAGAAGAGCUUGUACAUUCAGGCUAAGUAUCAGCGUUUACGGUUCACUGGCCCAAGGGGAUUUAUCACUCAUAAGUUCAGAGAAAGAUUAAUGAGAAAAAAGAAGGAAUAUACAGAUGUUGCCACAGGAAUCUAAUCUGAAAUCGUACAAAUGGAAAUGACGCUACAGGAGGAUGUUUGGGAGCAUCUCUCUCUUUUUGUCAGGAGUUAGAAGUGACACUAAGGCACUAAUACUGUAACUUCUUGAUAAAAUAACUUUAUUUUUUAGUA
RNAcentral lists this long non-coding RNA (539 nucleotides) under Homo sapiens (human). Its description in RNAcentral is "non-protein coding lnc-SH3KBP1-3:1". The record is from RNAcentral. Lineage: Eukaryota; Metazoa; Chordata; Mammalia; Primates; Hominidae.